This 167-nucleotide non-coding RNA is filed under the name pig gut metagenome. The record is from RNAcentral.
CGUCGUGAGGCGGAGUCUGAAGGAAGCCUACGGCAAAACCUCGGUCUGACGAACAGAAACUGUAUAUAAGGCGUACUUGAAACGGACGAGUUUCCAAGACAAAACGAAGUCCAAUACUGCCCGAAUUUCAAGGCGUAAAUACAGCAGAUAUAUGAGGUGAAGGUUAU